RNAcentral lists this ribosomal RNA (354 nucleotides) under uncultured bacterium. RNAcentral's name for it is "partial 16S ribosomal RNA". It matches the Rfam family "Bacterial small subunit ribosomal RNA", at positions 338 to 709 of the family's 1533-position model. The record is from RNAcentral.
CCUACGGGAGGCAGCAGUGGGGAAUAUUGCACAAUGGGGGAAACCCUGAUGCAGCCACGCCGCGUGAGUGAUGACGGCCUUCGGGUUGUAAAGCUCUUUCUUCAGGGACGAUAAUGACGGUACCUGAGGAGUAAGCCACGGCUAACUACGUGACAGCAGCCGCGGUAAUACGUAGGUGGCGAGCGUUGUCCGGAUUUACUGGGCGUAAAGGGAGCGUAGGCGGAGUUUUAAGUGAGUUGUGGAAUACUUGGGCUCAACUUGAGUGUUGCAUUUUAAACUGGAAGUCUAGAGUGCAGGAGAGGAGAGUGGAAUUCGUGGUGUAGCGGUGAAAUGCGUAGAGAUCAGGAAGAACAC